GACGUUAGCGGCGGACGGGUGAGUAACACGUGGAUAACCUACCUAUAAGACUGGGAUAACUUCGGGAAACCGGAGCUAAUACCGGAUAAUAUAUUGAACCGCAUGGUUCAAUAGUGAAAGACGGUUUUGCUGUCACUUAUAGAUGGAUCCGCGCCGCAUUAGCUAGUUGGUAGGGUAACGGCUUACCAAGGCGACGAUGCGUAGCCGACCUGAGAGGGUGAUCGGCCACACUGGAACUGAGACACGGUCCAGACUCCUACGGGAGGCAGCAGUAGGGAAUCUUCCGCAAUGGGCGAAAGCCUGACGGAGCAACGCCGCGUGAGUGAUGAAGGUCUUCGGAUCGUAAAACUCUGUUAUUAGGAAAGAACAAAUGUGUAAGUAACUAUGCACGUCUUGACGGUACCUAAUCAGAAAGCCACGGCUAACUACGUGCCAGCAGCCGCGGUAAUACGUAGGUGGCAAGCGUUAUCCGGAAUUAUUGGGCGUAAAGCGCGCGUAGGCGGUUUUUUAAGUCUGAUGUGAAAGCCCACGGCUCAACCGUGGAGGGUCAUUGGAAACUGGAAAACUUGAGUGCAGAAGAGGAAAGUGGAAUUCCAUGUGUAGCGGUGAAAUGCGCAGAGAUAUGGAGGAACACCAGUGGCGAAGGCGACUUUCUGGUCUGUAACUGACGCUGAUGUGCGAAAGCGUGGGGAUCAAACAGGAUUA
Molecule: ribosomal RNA, 705 nt
Filed under: uncultured Staphylococcus sp.
Lineage: Bacteria; Bacillati; Bacillota; Bacilli; Caryophanales; Staphylococcaceae
Description: bacterial SSU rRNA
Rfam family: Bacterial small subunit ribosomal RNA
Source: RNAcentral